RNAcentral lists this ribosomal RNA (495 nucleotides) under uncultured bacterium. Its description in RNAcentral is "partial 16S ribosomal RNA". It matches the Rfam family "Bacterial small subunit ribosomal RNA", at positions 28 to 507 of the family's 1533-position model. The record is from RNAcentral.
GACGAACGCUGGCGGCGUGCCUAAUACAUGCAAGUAGAACGCUGAAGGAGGAGCUUGCUUCUCUGGAUGAGUUGCGAACGGGUGAGUAACGCGUAGGUAACCUGCCUGGUAGCGGGGGAUAACUAUUGGAAACGAUAGCUAAUACCGCAUAAUAGCAGUUGUUGCAUGACAACUGUUUGAAAGGUGCAAUUGCACCACUACCAGAUGGACCUGCGUUGUAUUAGCUAGUUGGUGGGGUAACGGCUCACCAAGGCGACGAUACAUAGCCGACCUGAGAGGGUGAUCGGCCACACUGGGACUGAGACACGGCCCAGACUCCUACGGGAGGCAGCAGUAGGGAAUCUUCGGCAAUGGACGGAAGUCUGACCGAGCAACGCCGCGUGAGUGAAGAAGGUUUUCGGAUCGUAAAGCUCGGUUGUAAGAGAAGAACGAGUGUGAGAGUGGAAAGUUCACACUGUGACGGUAUCUGACCAGAAAGGGACGGCUAACUACGUG